GCUUAGUGUCAGAGAUUGCCUGGUGAAUAUAAUGUUGGACCAAAUCUGUGCAGGUGGUGACAAAAGAUUCAUAGUUAACAGGAUAUCCGUUUGUUCCUUCGGGAAGAUUGAAGGAAGAAUGAGUCAUUACAAGGAUAGUAUUAAACCAAAUUGCAGGACCAAAGACUUCCGUUAUAAGCUUCAACAAGGGGAAAUCACUGUAGCCCGUGUUGAUCAAAUCCAGGCGCUCAAAAUACAGGACCAUAUCAGGCGUUUGUUUCCUUAAAUAUCGUCUCACAGAAUGCAAUAUCUUCUUGUUUUUUCGGAUGUUACUGGGUGAGGGAGGCAAUAAACCAGGAGUGUCAAUAAACGAUACUCUGAUGCCAUUUACCGUUCCCACUAUCUCUUGAAUAUGGUCAGUAGCAGGCUUGAACGCGUUGGUUUCUGCUCUUGAUUGGUCAAAAAUGGAAUUUAUGGUUGAACUCUUGCCAACUCCAGUUCUACCCAGUACAAGGAUCUUAAAUGAGAAAUCCAGUUGUGGUCGGCCAGCAGCUUCUUGUUCUGCUGCUAUUACACGG
This 557-nucleotide unclassified non-coding RNA is filed under the name Hevea brasiliensis (rubber tree). The record is from RNAcentral. Lineage: Eukaryota; Viridiplantae; Streptophyta; Magnoliopsida; Malpighiales; Euphorbiaceae.